This 721-nucleotide ribosomal RNA is filed under the name uncultured Fusobacterium sp. RNAcentral describes it as "bacterial SSU rRNA". It matches the Rfam family "Bacterial small subunit ribosomal RNA", at positions 28 to 776 of the family's 1533-position model. Lineage: Bacteria; Fusobacteriati; Fusobacteriota; Fusobacteriia; Fusobacteriales; Fusobacteriaceae. The record is from RNAcentral.
GAUGAACGCUGACAGAAUGCUUAACACAUGCAAGUCAACUUGAACUUCGGUUUGGGUGGCGGACGGGUGAGUAACGCGUAAAGAACUUGCCUCACAGAUAGGGACAACAUUUGGAAACGAAUGCUAAUACCUGAUAUUAUGAUUUUAGGGCAUCCUAGGAUUAUGAAAGCUAUAUGCGCUGUGAGAGAGCUUUGCGUCCCAUUAGCUAGUUGGAGAGGUAACGGCUCACCAAGGCGAUGAUGGGUAGCCGGCCUGAGAGGGUGAUCGGCCACAAGGGGACUGAGACACGGCCCUUACUCCUACGGGAGGCAGCAGUGGGGAAUAUUGGACAAUGGACCAAGAGUCUGAUCCAGCAAUUCUGUGUGCACGAUGAAGUUUUUCGGAAUGUAAAGUGCUUUCAGUUGGGAAGAAAAAAUGACGGUACCAACAGAAGAAGUGACGGCUAAAUACGUGCCAGCAGCCGCGGUAAUACGUAUGUCACAAGCGUUAUCCGGAUUUAUUGGGCGUAAAGCGCGUCUAGGUGGUUAUGUAAGUCUGAUGUGAAAAUGCAGGGCUCAACUCUGUAUUGCGUUGGAAACUGUGUAACUAGAGUACUGGAGAGGUAAGCGGAACUACAAGUGUAGAGGUGAAAUUCGUAGAUAUUUGUAGGAAUGCCGAUGGGGAAGCCAGCUUACUGGACAGAUACUGACGCUGAAGCGCGAAAGCGUGGGUAGCAAACAGG